Molecule: ribosomal RNA, 501 nt
Filed under: uncultured Enterobacterales bacterium
Lineage: Bacteria; Pseudomonadati; Pseudomonadota; Gammaproteobacteria; Enterobacterales
Description: bacterial SSU rRNA
Rfam family: Bacterial small subunit ribosomal RNA
Source: RNAcentral
AUUGAACGCUGGCGGCAGGCCUAACACAUGCAAGUCGAACGGUAGCACAGAGGAGCUUGCUCCUUGGGUGACGAGUGGCGGACGGGUGAGUAAUGUCUGGGAAACUGCCCGAUGGAGGGGGAUAACUACUGGAAACGGUAGCUAAUACCGCAUAACGUCGCAAGACCAAAGAGGGGGACCUUCGGGCCUCUUGCCAUCGGAUGUGCCCAGAUGGGAUUAGCUAGUAGGUGGGGUAACGGCUCACCUAGGCGACGAUCCCUAGCUGGUCUGAGAGGAUGACCAGCCACACUGGAACUGAGACACGGUCCAGACUCCUACGGGAGGCAGCAGUGGGGAAUAUUGCACAAUGGGCGCAAGCCUGAUGCAGCCAUGCCGCGUGUAUGAAGAAGGCCUUCGGGUUGUAAAGUACUUUCAGCGAGGAGGAAGGCGUUGUGGUUAAUAACCGCAACGAUUGACGUUACUCGCAGAAGAAGCACCGGCUAACUCCGUGCCAGCCGCCGC